This is a long non-coding RNA of Saccostrea cuccullata (small rock oyster), 707 nucleotides long. RefSeq lists it as uncharacterized. The record is from RefSeq and is a predicted model, not a curated record. NCBI's taxonomy places the organism in Eukaryota, Metazoa, Mollusca, Bivalvia, Ostreida, Ostreidae. The transcript has 6 exons.
AACGUGUAUUGGGUUCAGCAUGUUUCUGAUUUAUGCAAAGCUUUCGGGGGAAAGUUAAAUACUUUAACAAAGCGGAAUGGUUUAUAGACUUACGAUGUCAUAAAAACUUGGGUGCGAGCGUCCACCAGGAAAAUUUCGAUCGAAGUACAGAAUUUUCUUGAAUCCGGGGACGAUAAUGUUUUUAUCAGCUGAUUGUAGAGGAGGAGUUUUGUCAGUGUUCGAUGGGUACUAACGUCAUAUUGUGGCUGCAUCACUUUUGUUUGGCAGAGGUACAAGAGAACCAGUAACACAGAUAAAAGAUGCAGUUGCUAAGAGAUCCAAAGUCAACAGCACCUAAGGCUAUACUAACUUUGAAUUAUCAGCAUCCAACACAAUGCAAAUCAAAUACAGGUGUCUGCACAUCAUGCAAUCUUAAGACAAUAUACUGGAUGGUUUUGAUUAAGAAGUGAUCCAGCAUGAAGACCAGCCAUGUUCCUCACCUGUCAUGACAUUAUUAAAGUAUGUGCAAUGAUUGUGAAGAAAAUAAACGGAAACUAAAUGGACCGACAGACAGCACCAAAGCAAUAUGCCCCCCCUUCUUCGAAGGGUGGCAUAAUAAAUUACUUUGUGACAGUGGGAAGAUAAAAUUUAAAAAAUGGAUAUGGCUCUAUAUUACUGCAUCAGAGAUCAAUCCAGGUUUACUUAUAAUUUGAAGAAAAACAGUCAAG